GGAAUUUUCAAGGAAGUAAUUUCUUGAAGAGUAGGGAAUUUGUGGAAGUCAAUACAAUUGGAAUAUUUAGCUGAGCUUCGAUUUUGUGCAAAGUGUUUUCAUAUUCACAUUGCACUUUUUCUACCACCUGAACAGGUGUCUUAGGGGUGCUUUUCGUGUUUAUGUGAUGGAAGGGGGGGGGAGGCAGCACUUUCCUUGCGAUAGUAAUUUCUAGUAGUAAUGGCUAUACAGGAUACUUUGACGAAAUGAAAUUGUUUAAAAAAGCUCUAACCGCUCACGAGGUUCUAAAACUUUAUCGUCUUAAAGUAGUUUAAAAAAAGUGACAAUGAAACAGUUAAGAACCUUGAAAAUCGAACUUAAACGUUAUUUGGACCUGAUAAAAGUUAUGAUUAGGUUUAAUAAUAAGUGAAAUGUUAUUGGGACUUGGAAAUUUUUACAUGGUGCAUUCAUUAAAAACGUAAUUAGGUCAUGGGUGGAAUAGAAAUUUCGUUCAAAUGUAAUGAUUAAAAAAAAAUUGUGAUUAAAAAGUUAUUAGAG
Paramuricea clavata is the source of this 537-nucleotide non-coding RNA. NCBI's taxonomy places the organism in Eukaryota, Metazoa, Cnidaria, Anthozoa, Malacalcyonacea, Plexauridae. The record is from the annotation of a GenBank genome assembly.